AGUGAGGGGAGCCAGUGAGGUAAGAAUCAAGGCCACCAAAUUUCUGAACAUGGCCUUCUCCACUACAAGGGUCCAGUUUUGGUGGAUUUGAGCAACAUGCUAAGCCUAAGCCUAACCUUGACAUUUCCUCUUUUCUCUUACUUUUACUCUUUUGCUUGCUUUGCUUCCCUCCACCAAUCUCACUCAAUUCAGCUUUUCCAUUUAUAAAGUUCAUUUAAGACUUUGAAUAUUUCAACCUUGUACUUUUCUAUUCAGUUUUUCUUAAUCUCGCUAUCUGUCUGUUGUUUAGUAUUCUUAAAUUUGUUCAGAGGUUUGUGACGUGUUAACUUUUGGUGAGUUCAAUUCCAGGUCGUGACUUUUUUCACCACCAAUCAGAGGUUUUAUUUAUUUAUUCUUGUAUGGAGUUUAUUCACUUCAUCUCUAUACUUUCAUCUGUGUAGAUUAUUUUCUCACAAUUGCAGGUUAAUUUUUUUUGAAAAAAUGUACAGAUUUUAUAAAGUGAAGGAAAUACAAUUUUCUCUUUUAAUUUAACAUACAAUUUUCUCUUUCCUUCCCUGUCAUGACAGAUAUGAGAUAGCAUUGUAGAAAAUUACAUUAUUUAUGACUUAUGAGUAAUAUUCAAAUAUUAUUUACUGGCGGCAAACAUAAAUCAUGUUUACUUUUCAAUGAAAAGUUUAGGCCUUCGUUUUUUCAUUAUGUUAUAUGAUUAUUAUUCAUUUUAAGAUUAAGACUGCUCAAUUAUUUCCUUACUAAACUUGACAAUUUUGUUUUUGCUUGCAGUUAGAAGAAGAAGAAUAUAAUUGUUAAACAAGGGUGUACGAGAUUAAGUAAAACAUAUGAUUAUAAUUGUUAAUCAAAUUAUUGAAAUUGAAAUUUCAACAACUUUAUAGUUUAUUAUAUAAAUAUAUGGCACAAUUUUAACAACAAAUUAUUUUGAGCUUGAACCGGAGACGGUAUAUAAACUUGCACAAUUUAUUUUAAAACUCAACUUUUUAUUAGAACAAAUUAUGCAACAAGAACUUAAUUUACAAACGGGCCCUUAGUUAUCUUUUUAUACACCAGAAUCAUUCAAAGACCACAAUUCCAGAAUUUAUACAUAGACCUUAGCAUUAGGCACUUGGACAAACUCACCCUUGGCGGGGAAUAACUAGAGUUUAAAAACAAAGCUUCUUCAAUCCAAUCCAUUCAAACAAAGUGAAUGAUAACAGAACUUUGAAGAUUAUUUUACAUACGAGGCGAAGCUGAAGAUGUAUUUACCACAGUCCUCGAAAAUAUGACCCAGAAAUUGGAAAAGCAAAGUUAUGAACAAUCUCAGACAAACAAGCUCUUAUUAGAAAAGAGGCAAUAGAAGUUCUUCUUCACAUUCAUAGAACAAGAUUGAUUUCUCACUUGAGAUGUUUAGCAAACCAGUCCAGCAUGUCCUGAUGGGCUUCCUCAGCAGCCUUCACAGCUUCUGCAUCUUCGAUGUUGUAUCUCACACUCCAACCGUGUGAGACUUUAGGAAAUAUUUUAACAUAACUAUCAACCUGCUAAAAAUAAAAAUAACAAUUCAGAAGCCAUAUUAAUCAUUCUCAAUAAGAAACAGUUAUGGGUCCAGCUUUAAGGUCUGAGUUAUGACGUAGACAAGAGGAUGGUGACGAUGAAUGUUUUUCAGUAGCCAAAAACAAGACACAAAGCACAAUGUGCUUGGUAAAAAUGAAAUUUAAACAGAGCUUAGCUACAGAUAGAUUUCUCAAAUUCAACUUGUCUGAACCCAUCAGAACCAAAAAAUGGAAACUGAUAAUGAAAGAACACGUCAUCUUUGAAUUAAAAAUAAAAUCACAUAGUAACCAGAAAAUAUUAUCAUCAUCAGAACAUAAAGGUAAUCUAAAAUGAUGGUAGAUAACCAGCAAAAAGAGAAAAAAAUAUCUGACCCCAGGUUUAGCAGUUAAGACUUGUUCAAACUGUUUCAGAAGCUCUGGAGGAGACAUUUUGUCAAUCUCAGCUCCAAGUAUAGCAAUUGGAAUAUCAACACCUAAAAGUUAGACCAAUAAUUGACUGUUAGAAUAUGAACAUCUUAGUCAAUAGUCACUGCUUAAGAAAUAUGCUUAAAAAUGAGAACGGAAUGAAUUGGUAUGGAACAAACUCCAAUAAAAUAGAACUUAUGCACAAUCAAUUAAAUCAACAGAAGUUAAGUACACUGUUGUAAUAAAAGACAACAGGCAAGGAGAUUUUUUCAACACAAAAAUAAAAUAUAGAUACCCCUGUGUAGCAAAUUAUUGACCUUCAGAAAAAUAGAUUGCAAGCACAGUCCAUAAAAAACACUAUUAUGGUUUGCUCAUCUUUCAAACAAACGUACUUCUAGGACUCAGAAACCUUCAACAUCAUUUAUAAAGUGAAGUGCUCAAUAUUUAGGCUCAGCAUAAGAUGUUUACGGUUUACCAAAUCUAUUUCUCUUUUAUUCAAUCAAAUGUUCAAAAUGUAAUGAUUAUGAUACAGACAUACCAGAAGUAUGUAGAAACAGUAAAAUACACUGCAAGUCAGCAUAAAGACAAAUAUGAUUAUUUAGGAAGUGACUGAGGACUGUAGUUAUAUUCCGAACAUGCCUAAUUGCCUAUUUCAAUGGUAUGACAAGAAGCUGCAACAUAAUUUUGGUAGUCAUCCUUAGAAGAUACAGUGAAGUUUUCAAUAACUAAAAUAUGCAGACAGAAGAAAUUUAAAUAUUGAGAAUUCAUACCAUUGAUGUCAUCCAGAGAGACAAAUGAUGGGUGUAAUUGCACAGCAGCUUGGAUUAGUCUGGAUUUCGCAAGUUCAACCACAACCUUAGCUGAAGGAAAGAAGAGAAAGACUACACUCUGUGAGUUUGAUUGCUUAGUUGUGUUCAUAAUUUCAAACCAUACCAGAAACUACACCUAAGUGAAGCUGAAAGUGCUAUAUAGUAUAUCAAUAUGCAAACAAGAGGAGGGGAAAAUAUAAGCACUCCGAAUGAGUGGAAUGAGAGGUACUUACCUCCCCAACAAAAUCCAGCAGCCCCAAUAGCCGACACACCUUUACUUUUUAAAGCUUCAACUAUGGGUUUGGCAACUUCAAAUCCUUUGUCCUAUUAUUGAUAUGAAAGAAUCAGGGAAUUAUGAAUUACAAAUUACAACACACAAAAAAACCAUUUUUCACUAGAUGAGAAUGACAAUAAAAGUUUACAAAUCAAUGUACAAUUUCUAUACAUUUUAUGCGAGAUAAUCCAUAGUAUUUGAUCCACUCAUCCAAACAUAUAUACUGAUAUACAGGUGGCCCACUAACAUUCAAACAGCUUGUAAUUGUAAAAACCAAUUAUUAUAAAUAAGAACUUACCGUUCCAUGAUCUUUUAACCAAACAGGUAAAGGCCUGUUAGCAUUCUCAGGAUUAUAUGGGUCACCAUAGAAGAAGUCAGGAACAACCACAUAAUAUCCAGCAGCUGCAACCUUGUCUGCAAGGUUCCUUAACAACAGAGGACAAACAGUAUCACUGCCCAGAGAUACACUACAUUUGGCACCAUAGAGAGAGAGAGAGAUGGAGAAAGAGAGAAUUGGAAAAGAGAGUUAAACAGCCAGAUUCCAUUAGUGGAAUAAUUCACCAGAACUUGAUAAAAUUUGAGAGUAAAAGGUAGACUUCCCAAGAAAGAAGAUGAUUAUAUCAUAAUUCAUAAUUUACAGUUAACAUGUUGAUAUAGAUAUAUAUUUGAUUAAUUCCCUACGAAAAUUGAAAUCUAUCAUUCACUGUUACCUAAAGAUUAUGAGCCAUUACUUUAAAAUGGAAAAGUAGGAUUUUUUUGCUAAUUGUGACGCCGCUAUUGCCACUAUAGCGCGCUAUUCGCCUCCAAAUAGCGGCUGAAAUAGUGGAUUUUUUACUCACCAUGAUGGUCCGCGAUUAAUUGGAAAUUGGACAGUAUGAAACCAAGAUAACUUGCUCUAACAUAUAAAGUAAAAAAAUUAGCUAACUUAGAAAUAGACAAUAGGCAUGAGACUUGAGUAUAAGAUCAUACCUUAAAUUCGGCGCUUCAUAUCCUACAAAACAAAUCAAGCAUGUGAAGUUAAAAGAUGAUAUUAUUGGCUACAGGCGAUAAUAACCUUUAAAAAAAUAUAUUGAUACAGCCAACAACAACAAGCAAGCCUUUUCCCACUAGAUGGAGUUGGAAAUGAAACCAGAGUCUCUUCAUAGAAUGCAAAAGUGAAGAUGGGGUGUUUGAAAGAUACCAUAAAUGUCAGAGACAAGUAGAAUGGCAAGCUUAGAGUGAGGGGAGCCAGUGAGAUAGGAAUCAAGACCAGCAAAUUUCUCAACAUGGCCUGCACCUGCAGUGGGGUUAAUGGUUGGUGGGUUUGAGCAACAUUGUGGCCCUGACAUUGCUCUUCUCUUCUCUGCAAUUCACUUCACAGCUCUGCUCUUGGGGAUCAAAUUUUGGAACAGAGAGAGAGAGAGAGAUGACGUGAAGAAAUGGGAGAUUCCACUUUGCUAUUGCUAUGCACUCAUAUCAUUGUGGUCCAUAUAUGGACAACUGCAGG
Molecule: long non-coding RNA, 4515 nt
Filed under: Lotus japonicus
Lineage: Eukaryota; Viridiplantae; Streptophyta; Magnoliopsida; Fabales; Fabaceae
Description: long non-coding RNA (LJAP_LNC001902)
Source: RNAcentral